Pogoniulus pusillus (Red-fronted tinkerbird) is the source of this 1204-nucleotide long non-coding RNA. RefSeq lists it as uncharacterized. The record is from RefSeq and is a predicted model, not a curated record. The transcript has 5 exons. NCBI's taxonomy places the organism in Eukaryota, Metazoa, Chordata, Aves, Piciformes, Lybiidae.
CCUCCUCUCUAUCCCUAGAGAGUCUUGGUUGUAAAAUCCUGCUCCUGAGGACUGUUUACCUCUUCAUUAUGACUGCUGCACCUUUUCUGGGGAAAGAAAAUGUCCUAGUGGAAAACUUAAGAGCUGCAGAAAGCCAUCUACAGGGAGCCUCUUCUACCACAAGAUGUACCCAACUGAGAAGUUUGCUCACCUGCUGGCUGGGGAUUACCACUGUGUCAUCGAUCAUGGCGCUGUCCCUCAGACCAGCAAAGGCUCCAAGCUCGGAAGACCUGAAUGACGCAGGAUUUACACAUGCUGCGAGGCAACCCCAACUGCUUCCUGACGUUCUUUGUUCCAGAAGCAAUUCAUGGCCUGCUGGAGUAAACUGAAGGCACCCUAUUGAUCCCACUGAGCUUCCGAAAUGCUGCUGGAAUAACAAGCAAGGCUAGAAAAUGAGCACAGUUUCUGCCUGUACCUUCUGCCUGCAGAUUUCAGUCUCCUUCCCAACAGCUCAUUACUACUACUGGAGGCUUCAUUCUACACCACCAAUUCCUUCAAACUUUCUCAUUUUCCAAGCUUGCAUGGGCAUAUGUCAAGAACCUGAAGCUCAGUUACAUGCAGGAAACUGCAACUGUUACAACAGGAACAGUCUUCAGAGGCUUUGCAUUGCUGCUGCAGUAAUUCACUCUGAUAGGCUGAGACAUAGAGGGCUGUGAAGAUCAGGUUAAGUGGUAUCCAUGCUGGAGCAAACAGAAUUCACUUGGGCAUCAGGACAGUUGCCACUUGUGUGAUUUAAUGUCUCAAUAAAGCAAAUACUGCAAAACCUAGUUUCUGUUACUGCUGCUGUCACCCCAUACACACAUAUGGGUAUUGCCAACUAUAGCAGUGGUGGAUUAAUAAAUAAGUGAAAAGUAAAACAAAGAAAUAAUUUAUAACCUAUCAUCUAAAAGUAACCUUUUCUAACGCACAAAUAUUAGACGUAAAAAUGAAGCCUCAAUCUUUUCAGUGUAACAACAAAAACUCUUGAAAAAUCUAUCUGCCCACAUGAAGAGGGAGAAACUGGGCACAGUUUCACAGAAAACACUAAAAUACAUUUAAUCAUUGCAUGUUUCCUGUCUUCUGAUAGAUGAUGCCUCCUGUUUCCUGGGAAUGUCACAUUAUAAAGCACAGAGCUUAGAGAAAACUUGGAAGAUGUUAAGGCAAUGCUGUUAAUCAAACAACAAAA